UGAGCAAGCUGUGUGGCAGCGUGCCGUAAGGCAUGAGGAAAGUCCGAGCAUCACAGGGCAGGAUAGCUGCUAACGGCAGCCGAAGGCGACUUUAGGGACAGUGCAACAGAAAGAGACCGCCGGGGAUUUCCCCGGCAAGGAUGGAAAGGCGAGGUAAGAGCUCACCGGGGCAGGGGAGACCCUGCCGCCAUGUAAACCCUAUCCGAUGCAACACCGACUGGGGGGCUAUCGUUGGCCCGACGCUCCCGACGGGUGGCUGGAGCAGGACGGCGACGUCCUGUCGAGAUAGAUUGUCACACACGACAGAACUCGGCUUACAGGCUUGGUCACAAA
This 333-nucleotide RNase P RNA is filed under the name Oscillospiraceae bacterium. Its description in RNAcentral is "RNase P RNA component class A". It matches the Rfam family "Bacterial RNase P class A". Rfam says of the family: Ribonuclease P (RNase P) is a ubiquitous endoribonuclease, found in archaea, bacteria and eukarya as well as chloroplasts and mitochondria. Its best characterised activity is the generation of mature 5'-ends of tRNAs by cleaving the 5'-leader elements of precursor-tRNAs. Cellular RNase Ps are ribonucleoproteins. The record is from RNAcentral. Lineage: Bacteria; Bacillati; Bacillota; Clostridia; Eubacteriales; Oscillospiraceae.